RNAcentral lists this ribosomal RNA (393 nucleotides) under uncultured bacterium. RNAcentral's name for it is "partial 16S ribosomal RNA". It matches the Rfam family "Bacterial small subunit ribosomal RNA", at positions 523 to 918 of the family's 1533-position model. The record is from RNAcentral.
AUACGGAGGAUGCGAGCGUUAUCCGGAUUUAUUGGGUUUAAAGGGAGCGUAGGUGGACUGUUAAGUCAGUUGUGAAAGUUUGCGGCUCAACCGUAAAAUUGCAGUUGAAACUGGCAGUCUUGAGUACAGUAGAGGUGGGCGGAAUUCGUGGUGUAGCGGGGAAAUGCUUAGAUAUCACGAAGAACUCCGAUUGCGAAGGCAGCUCACUGGACUGCAACUGACACAGAGGCUCGAAAGUGUGGGUAUCAAACAGGAUUAGAUACCCUGGUAGUCCACACAGUAAACGAUGAAUACUCGCUGUUUGCGAUAUACAGCAAGCGGCCAAGCGAAAGCAUUAAGUAUUCCACCUGGGGAGUACGCCGGCAACGGUGAAACUUAAAGGAAUUGACGGGG